Molecule: transfer RNA, 65 nt
Filed under: Eupelmus sp. ZJUH_2016012
Lineage: Eukaryota; Metazoa; Arthropoda; Insecta; Hymenoptera; Eupelmidae
Description: tRNA-Thr
Source: RNAcentral
UAACUAUUAAUUUAAAUAAAAAUAUUAAUUUUGUAAAUUAAAUAUAUAAAUAACUAUAUAGUUAA